CAAUAUAACUAUCAAACACCAAACUACUAUGGACACCCAUAGUAUCAUCACACAUGCACCACGAAAGCUUCUAAUGAGGCUAGUAAAUCAUCCUCAUAAUUCAUGAACGUAGCAUGGUUCUCUAUACACUAGCUUAUACACACACACACAGAGCUCAACAGAAAACUCCCAAGCAUACUCAAAAUUCUGGGACUUUAUCAACUGCAGGGUAAACUUUGAAAAAUCACUGACUUGUCAAUUUACAUUGGAAUAAGCUGAAACUUUCCAGAUCAAUAGUUCUCAUAUAGAAGAACAAGAGUACAAAGUUUCAGACCAAAAUGAGUCUUAAAUCCUUAUCAAAUUCAGACCACAAUUUCAGCACAAAGCACUUAAUUCAAUAAAAUCAUCAUAAUUCAUCUAUCUUAUCAAAUAACACCAAAAUUUGCAGACCAAGAGUAAACAUAAGGAAGAACAAGAGCACAAAAUUUCAAGCCAAACGAAGACCCAAAACCCAAUCAAAUACGAAGCAACUGAACUGUUGAACACAAACACAAUUUCCAGCGCAGUGUACCCAACAUCAAAAAUUCACCAUGAAUCAUCUACCUUAUCAAACAACACCAAACUUUCCAGAUCAAGGGUAAUCACAUGGAAGGACAAGGGUACAAAGUUUCAAGCCAAACGGAGUCCUCAAUCCUAAUGAAAUUCGAACUCAAGACAGCUACACCGCAUAACACCAAAAGUUUCAGCACAAAACACUUAUUAGCCAUUCACUAUAAUUUAACUACACUUAUUACCAAAUAAACAUCACAUGAAAUAUGCAACUGUAUGCAAGUACUUCAAUUCAACACUAUUUUCUUCAAUUCAUACCACUCAUGCAAUUCAAAGUACCAACUUCAUUGCCACAAACACAAGGCCAAAACUCAACAAUUGUAAAAUAAUUUUAAUCCAAAUUCCCAACUGUAUGCAGUCACCAAAACUCAUGCAAUUCAAAGUAAGAUACAUAUACAUACAUACCACAUAAUCAUAACAUGUCUUAUACCAAAAUUGAAUUAAUAGCAAGUACUUGUCCUUCUAUCUCAUAACCAAAACUGAAUUUAUACCUUGUACUUAUCCGAAUCAAAAUGAGUGCAAAGCCACUCCCACUCAUCCCGCCUGUGCAAAAGCUCUUCCGGAAUCAUAUCUCUCCCCCCGAGAUUGUGAAUCUCAGACAAGUCAUGCUCCCAUUCACGGAAUACACUUGCCGCCCUUUUAUUGAUCCAUUUAAUGGCUUUUAUAUCAUUAAAAUCAAUGAUAAAAAAACACUGCAGGACAUAGAAAAUUAACAAGUUAUAAUUAAGUUGCAAUGAUGCAUGGAAUCAAAAUACCAACAAAAUUAAAAGAACUGAAAGUUAUGACUUAACUUACAGUGAGACCGUCAAAAAGCUUCUUCCUUUCCUCCUUGUCUAAAUCA
This 1429-nucleotide long non-coding RNA is filed under the name Fragaria vesca (wild strawberry). RNAcentral describes it as "long non-coding RNA (FVES_LNC004482)". Lineage: Eukaryota; Viridiplantae; Streptophyta; Magnoliopsida; Rosales; Rosaceae. The record is from RNAcentral.